GUAUUCCGCUCCAUAGCGUAUAUUAAAGUUGCUGCAGUUUAAAAGCUCGUAGUUGGAUUUCGGAACCAUAUGUUGGUUGUGCCUCGGUACGUACUGGCAUUGUUGGUUUCUCCCUUCUGACGAACUAUGAUGUCAUUAAUUUGGUGUCAUGGGGAAUCAGGACUGUUACCUUGAAAAAAUUAGAGUGUUUAAAGCAGGCUCACGCUUGAAUACAUUAGCAUGGAAUAAUGAAAUAGGACGUUUGAUUCUAUUUUGUUGGUUUCUAGGAUUGACGUAAUGAUUAAUAGGGAUAGUUGGGGGCAUUAGUAUUCAAUUGUCAGAGGUGANAUUCUUGGAUUUAUUGAAGACUAACUACUGCGAAAGCAUUUGCCAAGGAUGUUUUCAUUAAUCAAGAACGAAAGUUAGGGGAUCGAAGACGUUCAGAUACCGUCGUAGUCUUAACCAUAAACUAUGCCGACUAGGGAUCGGAUGAUGUUAAUUUUUUAAUGACUCAUUCGGCACCUUACGGGAAAACA
Molecule: ribosomal RNA, 515 nt
Filed under: uncultured Glomus
Lineage: Eukaryota; Fungi; Glomeromycota; Glomeromycetes; Glomerales; Glomeraceae
Description: SSU rRNA
Rfam family: Eukaryotic small subunit ribosomal RNA
Source: RNAcentral